Acipenser ruthenus (sterlet) is the source of this 1343-nucleotide long non-coding RNA. RefSeq lists it as uncharacterized. NCBI's taxonomy places the organism in Eukaryota, Metazoa, Chordata, Actinopteri, Acipenseriformes, Acipenseridae. The record is from RefSeq and is a predicted model, not a curated record. The transcript is spliced from 2 exons.
CACAAUAGGUCAGAGCAAAGAUGCUAAUGCACUUUGAAACUUAAAACUUUGUUUUUAAAGCUUGCAGCCUUGCAAAUCCUCUGCUGCUAUUUUGCCAGUGGGCUUGAGCUUGCCUGGCACCUAGUUAGUUGUCAUAGAAACCUUGGACUCUCCUCUACAAACAGUACAGGAGUGGAGCUAUUUAGCCAAAUUGAAGCCAGCGGAGCUCAUACACUUCCAGGACCAGGUUCUGAUCACAUCUUCUGCUAGAAGACCUUGCAAGGCUCGUUCCAGCAAGACAAAGACACCAGGAUGGGUUGCAAUACCAGCAAAACCACAGCAGUGGAUGCUUCAAAAAAACCAGGAGAGACACCAGAGGGAGAAAACACCAGCGAGGAACAUGACACUGAGAUAGUGACCAGCCAGCAGGACGAGGCAGUGGCGGAAAACACAGCAGACGGGACAAGCUGAGCCUUCUCCUUUUCAUCUCCACACCGCUCCUGAAUUCCAGAUCAUUCAAACAACCAAUUACCUGGAAUAAACAAGACAAACUAACUAACAAACUGACAACUUCAGCAGCAGCAAAUCAUUGGCCCUACGGGGAAGUCCAUAAGGAAUACACCUUCAACAUGGGCAACAGGAGCUGUCGAAGUGGGCUUUCUUUCCCAGCCGCUGAUGGCUGGACUUUCUUGUAUGUUGUUUUGCUAGUUGUAAGUUGUUUUGAACCCCAUGGAAGUAACAAAGAAAAAAAUAAGCAAAAAAACACAAAACCCCUAAUAAAAACAACAAUGGCAGUUUAAAGUACAAUGUGUUAUAGUUACAUAAAAAAAAAUUAAAAAAAAAAUAAAAAAUUGUGUGGCUUAAACUGUUCUUUUUGCUUGAAAAACGACCCCCAAGUUGCUUGGUGUCUCAUGGCAUAUAGACUUAUGAGAGUAUUAAAAGCAGAAAUCCCAUUUGUGAUAUUUGAUGAAUACUGAAUGUUUCGUAUAAUCUAACUGAGUAACUGAGUCAAAUGAAAUAUUUAAGCACAUGUUCCAGGGGCUUUAUAUAUAUAUAGGAUGUAUAUAAGAUUCAUACAAUUUGUAUUUAUUCAUAUUAAAUUAACUUGUAUCAUGACUUGUCAAUGAUGGCAAUGCUAUGCAAACAUUAUGUAAUUUAUCGAUUAAACAAAAGAUUGUGUAAGAGUCAAAAAUCAACCACUUCUCGACUUUCUGGAAUUGUUUUUGUAUAAACUGUUAUUUGUUUCAGGCCUUUUGUUUUUCAGUUUUUUGUUAGAGCUAUUGCAAGGAUCUGGAGAUAGGGCAUAUUAUUAUUUGGUGUAGUUUUCCAAUUUUGUUUGAAAUAAAGUCUAUUUGGUCUACUUA